UGUCAAAUAGUUGUUGGGNGUUACUANNNUNNGUAACGCAGCUAACGCGUGAAGUUGACCGCCUGGGGAGUACGGCCGCAAGGUUAACACUCAAAGGAUUUGACGGGGACCCGCACAAGCGGUGGAUGAUGUGGAUUAUUUCGAUGCAACGCGAAAACCCUUACCUACCCUUGACAUGUCUGGAACUUGUGAGAGAUCNCUUGGUGCCUUNGGGAGNCAGAACACAGGUGCUGCAUGGCUGUCGCCAGCUCGUGUCGUGAGAUGUUGGGUUAAGUCCCGCAACGAGCGCAACCCUUGUCAUUAAUUGCCAUCAUUUAGGUGGGCCCUUUAAAGAGACUGCCGGGGACAAACCGGGGGGAGGGGGGGAUGACGUCAAGUCCUCAUGGCCCUUAUGGGGAGGGCUUCACACG
RNAcentral lists this ribosomal RNA (410 nucleotides) under uncultured Pseudomonadota bacterium. Its description in RNAcentral is "uncultured proteobacterium partial 16S ribosomal RNA". It matches the Rfam family "Bacterial small subunit ribosomal RNA", at positions 810 to 1222 of the family's 1533-position model. Lineage: Bacteria; Pseudomonadati; Pseudomonadota. The record is from RNAcentral.